UACGUAGGGGGCGAGCGUUGUCCGGAGUUACUGGGCGUAAAGGGCAUGCAGGCGGUCGGACGCGUUUCGGGUGACAGUGGGUGGCUUAACUACCCGAGCGGUCGAAAGACGGUUCGACUUGAGGACGCGAGAGGGACACGGAAUUCCGGGUGGAGUGGUGAAAUGCGUAGAGAUCCGGAGGAACACCGAAGGCGAAGGCAGUGUCCUGGCGCGUAACUGACGCUGAGGUGCGAAAGCCAGGGGAGCGAACGGG
Molecule: ribosomal RNA, 253 nt
Filed under: uncultured bacterium
Lineage: Bacteria
Also listed under: 1 other name
Description: partial 16S ribosomal RNA
Rfam family: Bacterial small subunit ribosomal RNA
Source: RNAcentral